RNAcentral lists this transfer RNA (93 nucleotides) under Burkholderiales bacterium. RNAcentral's name for it is "tRNA-Sec". It matches the Rfam family "Selenocysteine transfer RNA". The record is from RNAcentral. Lineage: Bacteria; Pseudomonadati; Pseudomonadota; Betaproteobacteria; Burkholderiales.
GGAAGAGAAUCGUCCCUGGUGGGGCGGCCGGGCUUCAAACCCGGUUGGGGGCGCUAUGCGCUCCCGGGUGGGUUCGACUCCCAUUCUCUUCCG